UUGCUUUGUGUGCUAAAGUCAACAGUCGCUCGGUUUGAGCUCAAAUAAAUGCGGAGAUGCCUCGGCUCUGAGCAGUCGGCCGCCUCCCUCCGCGCGCUGGACGCUCUGCCGCCCGCCCGCCGCACCGCAGGCCAGAAGCCCACCUGCGGGAAGUACAAAGUUUCAAUGCUGUUUUGUUUUUUUUUCACACUGACAAAACUCACAGGAAAAAAAAAAAACCUUCUGUAUAUUUUUCCUGCUGGGUGGUCAGAAGGAAAGGCCACGAAGCCAAAGGCCUCCCAUUGAGACAGUGCUCUGCGGAGAGUCGACCUCACGUGCCGCCGCUGCAGGAGAUGAGAGCACCUGUCGGGGGUCUCCGCCACUCCUUGGACGUGAAAACUCUUCUUUCCAAGGGCACUUGUUGAGAUCUGCCCAUCGCCGAAGGUCAACCUUGAACACCACCACAUCCUGACAACUGUGCAGGAUGCAUCUUUUUUUUUUUUUUUGAAGAUGACAGUGACACAAAAGUCAAGAAGGACGACCCAACCCAUAUCAACCUUUGUAAGUGUGAUAACUAAGCAUUUAGUGUGUUAAUCCUCUGAGAUUUGGUGAUUGCUACAAGAAUUUUAUCCAUAUCCUCAAACUUCAUCUGAGCCACUAGAUUCUUCUUCCUGUCUCAUCAGCACAUCUAUCAGGACUACACACCUAUGAUGAAAGCAAGGAACUGGGGUUAGUUUCUUCUUCUUUAUUGUUAUGUGUGCACCUCCCCCCACUCCAAGUUGUAGUGUGCAGUAAAAUGACUGGGAAGGAGAAGAAGGAGGUCAUGGGACUGCCUAAAUCAUUGAGCAGCAGGAUCACUGACUGUGUCCAAAAAGGUCUAAGCCAAGCCAAACAGUGGAAAAGGUGAAAUGUUAACAUGAAUGCAGUAAAUAUUCAGUCCUUCUUUGGGGGGAAAAAGGAGAGUGUUGUGUUGGAAAUGACUGGCAGGUGGAUGUCUGCAGGGGCCUCCCACAUCACGGAAGACUGUCUGGAGAAGAAGGUGUGCCUGACAUCCUUCCCAAUAAAAAGCCUGGGAAAAACAUCUGUCAAGUGAUAUUUGGAACUGACAUUUUCAUAAGGACCCAGUCUAUAGAGGGUUUUUGCAGGGCUUGGAAAACCACAUUUUUCAUUCUUCCUUCUCCCCAUCUCCUGUAAUUAAAUGAUGCUUACAGUGUUAAAUGUAUAUUUAAAAUGACAUGCUUUGAGGACUACAUUUUAGGAAACUUUCUAUUUGGAAAUAAUUUUGACAAUAAUAAUGAUCAUUUCAAAAAGUAAUAUUUAUUUCCUGAACCUUUUGAGAGUAAGGUAGGUGCACACAUCAUGGCUUUUUACUCCUAAAUAUUUCCUAUUUCCUCCUAAAUGUAUCCCAAACUGGGGUCUUAGACACAGAGCGAGGCCGAAUAUCUGGCACUAAGCUUUGGGAAAUGGAAGCCCAGGUUCUGCCUUUAUUCUCCAGCAUUUAGGAUAUUCCUGAAGAGGAAUGUUGGCUGAAAGAUUCCCACAUAGAAGGACAUAGGGAGACGUCUGCUCUCUUGCCAUGGGUGCUGCCCUGUCUAAUAUUUUCAUGUUCUGAUUGGAUGAAGAAACAGAAGGGAUGUUUACCCCCUCCACUCCCCCCCCGCCCCACCACCUUCAGGGAUACUGAUUGGGAACGGGUGGCUAACAUAGUCUCUGGGUCAGAAAAGAUCUUCAUAGACUGGACCUUUACCAGAUUAAAUAUAAAGUGUACAUUAUAGGGGAACCUGAGUGGCUCAGUCAGUUAAGUGUCUGCCUUCCACUCAGGUCAUGAUCUUGGAGUCCUGGGAUCGAACCCCAGCUGGGCUCCUUGCUCAGUAAGGAGUCUGCUUCUCCCUCUCCCUCUCUGCUCUCUCUCUCUAGCUCUCUCUCAAGUAAAUAAAUAAAAUCUUAAAAAAAAUAAAGUGUACAUUGUAUAAGCACAAAAUUACUACUGUAUUAUUUCCUAGGUUCUAAGAGACUUUUCUCUAUCUUUUAUUGUUUUUGAACUUUAGAUGCCCCCUAAAAUCUAUGUCAAAGGCAACUAGCUGUAAUAGUAAAGGGAGUUGUAAGUAGAAAACCUACCUGUCUGUAUGCAGAUGAAGGUCCAACUAAUUGCCAUCUGGUUUUCUCCACCAUUGGUGGAAUAAAUUUUCUUUGAGGUAUAAUUAUGUACACUAAAGUGUUUCCUUCUUAUUAUACAGUUCCAGGAGUUUUAACAAAUAUACAUAGUCAUAUAACUGAUACCAAAAUCAAUGUACAGAACAGUUUUAUCCCCAAAAGCUUCCCCUGUAGUCAAACCUUUGUAGUCACACCUCCCCCCAGCAACUUGUUUUGUAUCCAUAUAGUUUUGUCUUUGCCAGAAUGCCAUAUAAAUGUAAAAUGUAAAUACUUAAUUAUAUUUUAUUUAGAAUUUCUGAGUCUGGAUUCUUUUGGAGAUGCAUUUGAAAUAAACCCAUG
Molecule: long non-coding RNA, 2472 nt
Organism: Zalophus californianus (California sea lion)
Lineage: Eukaryota; Metazoa; Chordata; Mammalia; Carnivora; Otariidae
Exons: 4
Source: RefSeq, a predicted model, not a curated record